Molecule: long non-coding RNA, 2808 nt
Organism: Aethalodelphis obliquidens (Pacific white-sided dolphin)
Lineage: Eukaryota; Metazoa; Chordata; Mammalia; Artiodactyla; Delphinidae
Exons: 3
Source: RefSeq, a predicted model, not a curated record
AUUUUAAGUCGAAGAGGCAUUUAAUACACCUGACCUGCCAAGCAUCAUAGCUUAGCCUAGCCUACCUUAAACAUGCUCAGGACACUGACAUUAGCCUACAGUCAGGCAAAAUUAUCUAACACAAAGCCUAUUGUAUAAUACAGUGUUGAAUAUCUCAUGUGAUUUAUUAAAUUCUGUACUGAAAGUGAAACAGAGUGUCUGGGCAGAGAAUGGUUGCCAGUGUAUCAGUUGUUCAUCCUGGUGGUGGCGUGGCACCUGGGGGCAGCCCAGCAUCAUGAGAGAACAUCUUACUGUGUGCACAUCGCUAGCCCUGGAAAAGAUCAAGGUUUCUACUGAAUGUGUAUCACUUUCACACCAUCGUAAAGUUGAAAAAUGCUAAGUGGAACCCCGGGGGGACUAUCUGCAUUUAUCAUGAUGAAUUGGCUCAUGCAAUGGUGGAGGAGAAGAAGUCCUGCUACAGCUGCCCUCUGUGAGCCGUAGACCCAGGAGAACCGCUGGGGUCGUUCCGUCCAAGUCGGAAGCCCUGGGGACCAGGAGAGCCAAUGGUGUGAGUCCCAUCCAAGGGCAGAAGACACAUGUCCUAGGUCAGCGGUCAGGCAGAGAGAGUAGAAUUGUUCCUUUCUCGGCCUUUUUGUUCUGUUCAGGCCCUCAAGGAGCGGAGGAGGCCCACGCACACUGAGGAGGUUAAUCUGCUUUGCUGAGUCUGCUGAUUCAAAUGCUAAUCUCAUCCAGAAACCCCUUCCCAGACACCCCCAGAAAUCACGUUUGGCCAUAAUAUCUGGAUACCCCAUGAUGGCACGUCACACUCCAUCGUGAGUUACUUUGGUCUGUUGUCAUGUUUGUGGAGCCCCUGGUUUCCACUCAGUGGUUACUGGUGCUGAACAGGGAAGAACAAAUCUGACUCCAUAUUGGGUCUGUUGGUUUUGCUACAAGUUAAUCACCAAAGGGGUUGCUGCCUAUAAGCUUAGAUGAUGCAUCAUGGCCCAUCUCUGGGAACCCUGCCUCCCAGGUCAUGAGCAUUAAGCUAACAUACCUUUGUUUAGCUCACAGGAAAUAUACUGACCGGGCCCACCUGUGAAGGACUGCAGGGAGGAAGAUAUGAACACCCCCCCCUCUGGAGGCUGAUGGGAGCCAGGAAAUGCUUGGCUUUGCUCCGUCCCCCUUUUAGUAUAAAAGAAGCCUGUGUUCUAACUCAGGGAAGAUGGGUCUUUGGGGCACACGGCCACCACCUUCUCAGUCUGCUGGCUUUCCAGAUGAAGUCUCUCUCGCCUCAGCAGCUCGUCUCUCCGUAUCUUGGACUCGGCGACAAUGGGGGCUGUGAGAGCAGAACAGAUUGAUGACAGAUUUCUCCUUUUGAGGAAGAGACACUUCAGGAGGACAACGGUCUCUGCCUGGACCAGCUCUCGGCUCAAGCUGACAUGCCGGCUGAGUGCAAGAAGCUGUCGAAAUCCGUCACCAUCACCUGAGCCCCGUUAGCAGAUGGAAACGCCUGGCCCUCCAAGACUUCUGAGCAGAAGAAUUAUUGGUGGCUUUUGAGACUUUAUUUGGAAGGGAAGUGCUGGGUAAGUGCCCUUCAUCUGGGUGUCCUGGGCUGGUCAGGAAUGGGCACCUCAAAAUCCCAUCAGGUUGCCUCUGGAAGUCUUCCUAAAGUUCAGAGGUGCCCCGUGGGGUUCAAGGUCAGUGAAAAGGAAGCCACGGUCGGGGGUGUCAGGAGGUCGCUGGAGGGAGGUGGUCGUUAUGGGCCGAAUGGCGUCUCCCAAAAUUCACAUGUUGAAGUCCUAACUCACCAACUCCACUACCACCACCUGCACCUCAGAAGGUGAAUGUGCUUGGAGAUUAGGCCUUUAAAGAGGUGAUUAAGGUAAAAUGAUGUCACGUGGGUGGGACCUAAAGCCAGUGUAACUGGCAUCCUCAUUAAAAAGGGAAAUUAGGACUGACAUACACAGAGGGAGGACCCUGUGAGGACACAGGAGACGACCGUCUACAAGCCCAGGAGAGAGGCCUCGGAGAAACCAGCCCUGUGACACCUUGAUCUUGGACGUCUGGGCUCCAGAACUGUGAGCACGUAAAUUCUGUGGAUUGAGCCACGCCGUCUGGUGGUGCUUUGUUUUGGUCCACGCAGACUAACGUAGUGGGGAAGGACCCUGAGGCUUGGGGGCCGGCAAAGCCGUGGACCUCAGUCCUAAGAGGGGCCGAGGGGGAGGCACCUGGUGGUCACUUGGUGAGCAGUGGUUUCAGGGAAAGCGGUGGAGGUCAUUCUUAAAUGCUCCUACUGCGUGGUUCACUUGCUCUCGGUCAAAAGACCAGGAUGUGAUUCCAAAACCUGGAUGCAGACCCGGCGGGCCAUGGAUUUCUGAGAGAGGCAAACUCUGAACUGUGGUCCCCCCGACAAGGACAGAAAGACGGAGCAGUGACUGUCAGCCCCGAGUCCACCAGCUGGGCUGCAGCCCCUCGGAUUUUUAAAAAAUAAUUUUAAAUUGUGGCAAAAAAACACAGCAUAAAAUCUACCUUCUUAACCAUUUUCAAGUGUACAGUUCAGUUACGUUAGCUACGUUCACAUUGCUGGGCAGCACAUCUCCAGGAAGUCGUCAUCUUGCAAAACGGAAACUCUGUACUCACUGAACAACAGCUGUCCUUCCCCUCCCACAGCCCCUCAGGUUUUAAAGGGUGAACCCGCUGAGCGUGGAAUUCUGCCAGCUGGGAGAGGCUUGGCCUUGGGGCUGCUGAGUGUCCUGGACUUUUCUUCUGUACGUCGUGCGGGUCCACGUGUGAUAUCUAAGGACCGAAUUCUGACCAGUGCCUGCAGUG